This 58-nucleotide small RNA is filed under the name Arabidopsis thaliana (thale cress). Its description in RNAcentral is "ATSL023070". The record is from RNAcentral. Lineage: Eukaryota; Viridiplantae; Streptophyta; Magnoliopsida; Brassicales; Brassicaceae.
AUUAAAACUAUUGUUCAGAUUCCAAAUUUCUUCUUCUUCUCCAAUAUUACAAACUACA